GUCUACAGCUAUGCCACCCUGAACAAGCCUGAUGUCUGAUCUCGGAAGCUAAGCAACGUCGGGCCUGGUUACUACUUGGAUGGGAGACCACCUAGGAAGACCAGGUGCUGUAGGCA
This 116-nucleotide ribosomal RNA is filed under the name Pteropus alecto (black flying fox). The record is from RNAcentral. Lineage: Eukaryota; Metazoa; Chordata; Mammalia; Chiroptera; Pteropodidae.